This is a long non-coding RNA of Equus asinus (donkey), 2956 nucleotides long. The record is from Ensembl. NCBI's taxonomy places the organism in Eukaryota, Metazoa, Chordata, Mammalia, Perissodactyla, Equidae.
CCGGUGGGCCAGGGGCCAGACCCUGACCUGAGAAGAGGAGGAGCCUGAAUCCUGCUGCUGCCGAGAAGUUGAAAACAAAGCCAGAAGAGGUCCAUCUUCUGACCUUGAAAGUACUCCUUCCUAAGGACCCAGAAGGCCAGGUUUGAGGUCGGAGUCAUCAGAGUCCUUGGAGUUCUGCACGGGAAUGUGGCAGCGCAGGGAGAGCUGGUCUGGCACUCACACCUCCCCCCGCCCUGUCUUCCCACCUCAGCUCUGACCUGCACCUUGAGAGGCCUCAGGAGCAUGCCAGUGGGCUCUUCAGCUCACACGUUCCAGUUCCAACCACAGCCUCCCCUUGGCCGCCCUUAUGGCUAAAGGCUUCCAGAGGGACUGCAAAGCCCUUUACCAUGGUCUGGAUGCUGGAGAAGGUGCCUUUCCACGGGGCCAUAGGGGUGCAGGGGCAGGCAGGACAGGAUGUUCUCCGAGUUCCAGCAGCAGGACCAUCCCUCAGAACGCGCAGCAGAGCCAUGAUUAGGGCUGAAGCCUGGUUGUGGGGCAAAGGCCUUGCCUCACCUUUCACCACCGUCUCGCUUGAGAUGUCGCAAGUAUUUAGAGACUUGCCUUUUCCCCCCCUCUCAUCAGCUUUAUAACCCUGAACACAUUCUUAUUUUUCUUCCCAUCACUCAAUUUAUCAGCCCCUGGAACAAGUCUGUCACUCACCCGUGAGCCUAGAAGGCUCUCUGGUGAAUUGUAAGGCAGUUCACACUGGCUUGAUUGGGCAGAACAGGGUGGUGGUGGUUCUUAUCUUGGGUUUAAUUUGCUUAAGUUGUUCCCACCUCCUCUGCUCAGGUCUAGCGGCUCUUUGGGAGCUCUGGUCGGGUAUUUCGGUAGCAGGAUAAGAGUGGUUAAGAGCAUAAGUUUAGGCUGCGGAGGGGGCCUGGGUACAUGGCCCAGGUCUGCCAUUAAGGGCCACAUGACCCGGGACAUGUGGCUUGACCUCUCUGAGCCUCAAAGUUCUCAUCUGUAAAAUGGGAAAGAACAUUACCUGCCUCAAAGGAUUGCUGGGAGGAUGGAACGAGAAUGCUUAUGGAGCACUUAGCACUGCUCGAGGCACAAGGUUAUCCCCAUAAUCUUCCCAGCAGGACAAGGACAACCACAGGUCCGGGAUAAGGGUAUUGGGAUCAGAGAAUCAGGGGUUAUGAAGCCAGGCUUUUCGCCCUAGACAAGGGUGGAAGUGAAGAGGAAAGAGCUUGUUCUAGUUGAAAGAUCCAGUCAGGGUUCCUUAAGGUGGUAAAAGCCAAGAUUUUUAGGAUUGAAAGAGACCCUGGAAAUCCUCUGACUGAAAAGAAGGUAGCUCUGUAGCAGGAGAGUGAGAAAGAAGACGGGCCCGAGUGACCUCCACAAAGCACCACUUAUGAAGGAUUUGAGGUUUUGACGGGAGUGCCUGGUGGCUAAAAAUAGGACAGGACUGUGUGGGCUCCGUGAGCCUGGUUGCUCCUCAGGUGGAGAAAAAAGUUACCCCAUCCACCAGAGGGUCAGUUCCUCCUUUCCCCUGGAGGAGAUGCUGGAGACUUAGGAAACUGGAUGGACCAGGUCCUCGUUGCCGUAAUCUAGUUAUAACCAACCCAUGUUUCCCGUAUGGUCUGGCACAGAAACCAAAGGAAGGGUAUGCAGAGCUGGGCCCCGCUGGUUCCUUGGCAUGGCUGCUCUGCCCUCUGGGAAAGAUGGAGAAACCAGGGCUGGGAACCCAUAGGCCCCUAAGAAGAAAACAUCAACAACCAAAAUUACAGUUGGGAAGAACUGCCUCCAUCUGCAAGUAACUGGGCAAUUACCUCCUAAUUAAGCUCUCAUUAAUCUGUUUUCUGAGGGUGAUAGUACAGUACUUGGUAGGUGCACCCCACCCUGCUUGUCACUAAGGUGUUGAAGAUUAAGCAUUUCACAUCAAUCAAGGUGGAACUCUUCUAUCUGAUUAAAUAUAAUAGUCUGAUUUAUUCCAACAUGAUGAGGUCUUAAAAGCCAUGCCCUUUUAUCUUUGGAGCACUGGGAGGGGUUGCAGGAUUUUCAUUUUGAGUCCUGUGUUACAGGGGAGGAAGAGGAAGCACCAGGAGGGGAAAAGACACAAGGCAGAAUUCAGACCAGUGUUUUUCAAAGUGUGGACUAUGGAUCUCUCUUGCAUCUGAAUCACGUGCCUAUUAAAAAUGCAGAUUCCUGGGCCAGCCCUGAUGGCCUAGCAGUUAAAAGUUUGGUGCACUCCACCUCAGCAGCCCAGGUUCAGUUCCUGGUCACGGAACCAUACCACUCAUCUGUCAGUAGCCAUGCUGUGGUGGUGGCUCACAUUGAAGAAUUAGGACUUACAACUAGAAUACACAACUACGUACUGGGGCUUUGGGGAGGAAAAAAAAAGGGAGGAAGAUUGGCAACAGACCUUAGCUCAGGAUGGAACUUUCCCAGCAAAAAAAUAAAAACAAAUAAAAAUGCAAAUUCCUGGAGUCUGCUUCAGUCUUGAGUCUGAAACUUCCCACGUGAUUCUUACAAACACCCAGGUCUGAAAAUCUCAGGGAGAAGCAGAAAGUCUUCAGGGAUUUUAAAGACACUGAUAAAGGAAGUACACAGACAACUCAAAACACCAUUUCAGCCAAUCAUUUCUAAACCCAUCCCAGAAAAUCUUUCACUUUAGCAUUUAGCCUAGGUAAAGCUUGACCAUUCCCCUGGUUACACUUCAUCCAUCUACAGGUGGUGAUGCAAAUAGAAAAACAUCUGGCCCUUUUGGGCCAGAAGGUCAGAGAAGGAGGAGCAUGUUUGUGUAUAAACCAACCUCUAGAUCACCAAAGGCUGAUGUCUUGGUUCUAACUCCCUGGGCUCAGGUGUUGCAAAUGCUGACUUAGGGCCCCCUUAUCUACUGAUAACAAAGGUGAACAGAAGUGAUCUCCAGAAAUGGUUCACACACAGCUCCCAGGUUCUUGAAAAACCACAAGUG